UACGUAGGUCCCGAGCGUUGUCCGGAAUUACUGGGUGUAAAGGGUGCGUAGGCGGCCGGGUAAGUCUGAUGUGAAAUCCCGCAGCUCAACUGCGGAACUGCAUCGGAUACUCUCCGGCUAGAGGAAUGGAGGGGAGACUGGAAUUCUCGGUGUAGCAGUGAAAUGCGUAGAUAUCGAGAGGAACACCAGUGGCGAAGGCGAGUCUCUGGACAUUUCCUAACGCUGAGGCACGAAAGCCAGGGGAGCAAACGGG
This 253-nucleotide ribosomal RNA is filed under the name uncultured bacterium. RNAcentral describes it as "partial 16S ribosomal RNA". It matches the Rfam family "Bacterial small subunit ribosomal RNA", at positions 524 to 776 of the family's 1533-position model. The record is from RNAcentral.